AAUACAGGCUGUUCCCCAAUUCAUAGAUCCUAAAAUUAUAUGAAUAAUCAGUUUUCAGAUGAAGAAAUAAAAACUGUCUCUAGCCACAUAAAAAAGCACUAAAUCACUAUGAAGAAUACAAAUUUAAACAACUCUUACUUUUCAUGCCUAUCAAAUUUUCUUAACGAGACAGGAAAGGAAAAUGAAAAAUGUUGGAGGUGAUGGGGGAAUAUUUGAGACACUAAGGUACAGAUGGUGGAAUUGUGAACUGAUUCAUCUAUUCUAGAGAACAAUGUGGACAUAUGAUCAAGGAGCUAUACAAUUGUGCAUAUUCUUUGACUUGGCAAUAUCACGACUAAGACAGUAUCCCAAAGAGAUUAGAAAUUUUUAAAAGAUGAAACAAAAAUCCCUAUAUGUACAAAAUAAUUUAUGGCACUUCUUUUUUGUGUUGAAGAACUUAAAAUUUCAGGGAUAACAUUCAAUUGUGAAAUGGCUGAAAAAUUUGUGGUAUGUGAUUGCAACAAUAUUAUUGUGCUACAUGAAAUGAUGAUUAAGAUGAUUUCAAAAAACCUGGAACACUUAUAUAGAACUGAUGCAAAAUGAAGGGAACAGAAGCAGAACACUGGGUGCAUGAACAGCAAUGCUAUGCAAUGAUCAACUGUAAAUGACUUUGCUAUGCCCAGAAAUACAAAGAUUGAAAGACAGUUCUGAAGAACUGAAAAAUGUUAUCCACUUACAGUGGAAAAGGUGAUGGAAUCUAAAUGCAGAGCAAAACAUAUUUUUUUUACUUUAUUUUCCUUUUUUCCUGGUAUGUUUUAUUUUUCAACAUGAUGAAUAAGGAAGGAAAUAUUUUUUACAUGACUGCAUAUGUAUAAUCUUUAUCAAAUUGCUUACCUUUUUAAUGAGGUUGGAGACCAGGGUGAGCAGGAAAGAAUUUGGAACUUAAAAUAGAUUUUAUAUGUCCUUAGAAAAAAUUUUAAUCAUUAAAAAUAUUUUAAUGUGCUUACAUGCUGAAAGUUAGAAAGUUCAGCAAAAUCAUUGGUCUAGGGCAGACUGUAAACAGAGUCAGAUAUAUAAUUCCAUUGCAAAGCUAGAGUGACCAGGCCAACUGUACUGGGAGGAAAUUUUAUUUUUACUGUUGCUUCAGAUGUUUUAGGCUUUCAUUAUUAUUACUAUUAUUAUUUUUGUAUUUAUAGGUGACAACGAACUGGGGCUUUGUACUUGUAUCUUCUUUGAUCCAGCAGAUGAGGAUGGAAAGGAACCAGGGGUUUUUAUAACUGAAAUUAUUGAAGGAGGUGCAGUUCACAAACUUGGAUGUAUCCGUGUAUUUGACCAGAUUAUUAAAAUAGGUGACAUCAAUCUAAUUGGAUUGGAUGAAGCAGAAAUCGUCUCUACUUUUAAAAAAAUGGACGAUUCUCCUUUCCAGUAAGUAAAUUUUCCCACAUUUCUUUAAGAUGCAGAGAUUGCUAGAUCAUUGUUUUUGAUUUGGAAAUUUCUUUAGCAAUGUGUUCAAACAGAAAAAUUGGGGAGAAAGAUAGCCUAAUUAACAUGUUUAAAUAAUUUCUCUUUUUGACUUCUUUUGCUAGGAAAUGACCCUCUUUUUUUCUGUUCAGCAGUUCACAAGACAUUUUAGGACCCAUUUGCACCUUCCUUUCUGAAUACUCUAUCACAUCUCAAGCAAACCCUUAAUUUUCGUUUGCAUUUAUUUUUAGUUAAUGAAUUUUUAUUUUCUUGGCAAAUAAUGCUCCUUGAACCUGAAGAGGUUUUUUUGUUUUGUUUUGUUUUGUUUUGUUUUUGUAAGAAUGACAGCUUAGCUGAAUUUCCCCAUUCUGCUUUUUGCAUGGCUAUGUCUUAAUCCAAAGUACAUAAAUUAAAUGUGGAUAUUUUGUACCUAGGAUUGAAAUUGGCCGCGAACCACCUGAAGUCAAGUCAGAACUUAUCGAACUCCUCGAGUUGUCAGAGGAAAGGAAGAAAUAUUUUAUGGAUUCGCUCAUAGUACAGGUAUUAUGUGAACCAAAUAAAAAAGUGCAGAAACGCAAAAUUCUUUCUUUUUUAUCAUAACAAUAUUAAAAUAAAAUUUUUGUUCUUUAAAA
Non-coding RNA from Monodelphis domestica (gray short-tailed opossum), 2072 nucleotides. The record is from RefSeq and is a predicted model, not a curated record. Lineage: Eukaryota; Metazoa; Chordata; Mammalia; Didelphimorphia; Didelphidae.